RNAcentral lists this ribosomal RNA (301 nucleotides) under uncultured bacterium. Its description in RNAcentral is "bacterial SSU rRNA". It matches the Rfam family "Bacterial small subunit ribosomal RNA", at positions 28 to 329 of the family's 1533-position model. The record is from RNAcentral.
GAUCAACGCUGGCGGCGUGCCUAAUGCAUGCAAGUCGAGCGGGGUGGCCUUCGGGCCGCUUCCGCGGCGGACGGGUGCGUAACACGUGGGCAACCUGCCCCGAGGUGGGGGAUAGCCGUGGGAAACCGCGGGUAAUUCCGCAUGAGCUCACUGGUCGGAAGGACUGGUGAGGAAAGGUCUUUAUGACUCGCCUUGGGAGGGGCCUNCGGCCGAUUAGCUAGUUGGUGGGGUCACGGCCUACCAAGGCGACGAUCGGUAGCUGUCUGAGAGGACGGCCAGCCACACGGGGACUGAGACACGG